Molecule: ribosomal RNA, 465 nt
Filed under: uncultured bacterium
Lineage: Bacteria
Description: partial 16S ribosomal RNA
Rfam family: Bacterial small subunit ribosomal RNA
Source: RNAcentral
CCUACGGGAGGCAGCAGUGGGGAAUAUUGCGCAAUGGGCGAAAGCCUGACGCAGCGACGCCGCGUGAGGGAUGAAGGUCUUCGGAUCGUAAACCUCUGUCAGCAGGGAAGAACGGUCACUGUGCUAAUCAGCAGUGAAUUGACGGUACCUGCAAGGGAAGCACCGGCUAACUCCGUGCCAGCAGCCGCGGUAAUACGGAGGGUGCGAGCGUUAAUCGGAAUUACUGGGCGUAAAGCGCUCGUAGGCGGUAUGUCAAGUCAAGGGUGAAAUCCCCGCGCUCAACGUGGGAAUUACCUUUGAUACUGGCAAACUGGAGUGUGUGAGAGGAUAGUGGAAUUCCAGGUGUAGGAGUGAAAUGCGUAGAUAUCUGGAGGAACAUCAGUGGCGAAGGCGACUAUCUGGCACAUAACUGACGCUGAGGAGCGAAAGCGUGGGUAGCAAACAGGAUUAGAUACCCUAGUAGUC